RNAcentral lists this long non-coding RNA (923 nucleotides) under Glycine max (soybean). RNAcentral describes it as "long non-coding RNA (GMAX_LNC003118)". Lineage: Eukaryota; Viridiplantae; Streptophyta; Magnoliopsida; Fabales; Fabaceae. The record is from RNAcentral.
UCACACAAAACAUCGAUGGCUGAGAAGAUCAAACAACAACUUCUAAGCAACACGGUACCUAUCCAAUGGAUCUUUGAAAAUGAUGCGUUCAUGGUACACUCUCCAAGCAUAGUCCUCAAAAUCAAAAGAGUUGAACACCCUCUUCUCUAGUUCUUCACCACCAUCAUUGCUUUCUUCAUCAACUUCUUCUUCCUUUUGUUCCUUGUUGCAGGUUGCCUUGGGAAGGAGUGGAGCCACUCUGCUAUCUGUUGGAAGAGUUAUCAGCAAUGACAUUGUUAUGCAGCGUGAACCAUUUUCAUCUCCCACUGUGGCCAUUGGUCUGCCUCUCACUUUCUUUAACUUGCCAUUGCUCCACAUCUGCACAGUAAUUGUUUAAAUUCAUAUAGUAUCCCACUUUAUAAAUGCAUCACCCCUAGGAUUAAUGUAAUGUGCUCUUCAAAAUAAAAUAAUUUAUAAAAAAAGAUACAUGAUAGUAUGAUACAAAAUUGAACAAAUAAUGAAUCUUAUAAACUUUUUAAGAAAUAUGAAACCAACUACUAAGAAACUAAGGCAUCACACACACAAAAACACUUAUGGGGCAUUGUAUAUGAUUUUUUUCCUCCAUAUGAAAUUGAAUUCAUCUUCUAUUCUUAGGAAAUGAUGUGUGGUAUAACAUUUGAGAUUUGAGGCUUUUGCCUAGUCCACUUUUUCUGAGCUGAAUUGAAGAUUUUUCUAAAUGAAAAAUGAAGAACAGACACACCCUGACAUAGGGACAUUGCUACACAGUGCAUUGUGAUCCACCUUGCUAAAGAAGGGGGCCCAACCAACAUAAAUUAUCUGCAGGAUCAAAAUCAGAAUUUGCAUGCCAAAAUGUAUGACCGAAAAGAACAAUGAUUACUUUAUGCAUACGUAAUAAAAUAUUUUAAUUAUAACUUCAUUAUCAG